RNAcentral lists this long non-coding RNA (255 nucleotides) under Linum usitatissimum (flax). RNAcentral describes it as "long non-coding RNA (LUSI_LNC004488)". Lineage: Eukaryota; Viridiplantae; Streptophyta; Magnoliopsida; Malpighiales; Linaceae. The record is from RNAcentral.
UACAUUUCUCCAAUCAUUGAGCCAAAAUAAAUUAAUGGCGCCACCCCAUUUGGAAUCUCUUAUUUUUCUCCAUUUUUAUGUUUUUUUUUCUGUUUAGUUUAUUAAUCCAUGCUACGUGUGCAAAUUGCUCGACCGGCUCGACCAAACAAGUGAACCGAAUUCCAUCCGAAUGCGUGAACUUAUUUGGUAAUGAUCAAAUUUAGAUAUGUUUGUGAGAAAAAGAUUACACGAAUCCUUUAUAAUCAUGAAAUCAUG